This 23-nucleotide microRNA is filed under the name Ictalurus punctatus (channel catfish). Its description in RNAcentral is "ipu-miR-1788". The record is from miRBase by way of RNAcentral. Lineage: Eukaryota; Metazoa; Chordata; Actinopteri; Siluriformes; Ictaluridae.
GGCUUGUUUUAAGUUGCCUGCGA